RNAcentral lists this long non-coding RNA (246 nucleotides) under Trifolium pratense (red clover). RNAcentral describes it as "long non-coding RNA (TPRA_LNC000806)". Lineage: Eukaryota; Viridiplantae; Streptophyta; Magnoliopsida; Fabales; Fabaceae. The record is from RNAcentral.
GUUAGAAGUCUCACAUUGGCUAGAGAUAUGGCAAAGAUAGCCUUUAUAAGUGUAGUGCAAACCUCAACUCUCAAGCUAGCUUUUGUGGUUGAGUAUAGGCCUCCCAAAUUCUAAUAUGGUAUCAAAGCCUAUCCUAGAUCAACUUGUUGUUUGUUGUGGAGACCUCCCAUAUUUGGGCCACCCGUUGUUGUUGAUCCCACGUUCCAGCUUGUUCAGUUCUGGACGUGAGGGGGUGUGUUAGAAGUC